This 397-nucleotide ribosomal RNA is filed under the name uncultured bacterium. RNAcentral's name for it is "partial 16S ribosomal RNA". It matches the Rfam family "Bacterial small subunit ribosomal RNA", at positions 523 to 918 of the family's 1533-position model. The record is from RNAcentral.
AUACGUAGGGGGCAAGCGUUAUCCGGAUUUACUGGGUGUAAAGGGAGCGUAGACGGAAGGCCAAGUCUGAUGUGAAAGCCCGCGGCUCAACUGCGGGACUGCAUUGGAAACUGGUCAUCUGGAGUGCAGGAGGGGUAAGCGGAAUUCCUAGUGUAGCGGUGAAAUGCGUAGAUAUUAGGAGGAACACCGGUGGCGAAGGCGGCUUACUGGACUGUAACGGACGUUGAGGCUCGAAAGCGUGGGGAGCAAACAGGAUUAGAUCCCCUGGUAGUCCACGCCGUAAACGAUGAAUACUAGGUGUCGGGUUUCUAUAGAGAUUCGGUGCCGCAGCAAACGCAAUAAGUAUUCCACCUGGGGAGUACGUUCGCAAGAAUGAAACUCAAAGGAAUUGACGGGG